This 374-nucleotide ribosomal RNA is filed under the name uncultured bacterium. RNAcentral describes it as "bacterial SSU rRNA". It matches the Rfam family "Bacterial small subunit ribosomal RNA", at positions 64 to 438 of the family's 1533-position model. The record is from RNAcentral.
GAGCGGUAACAGGCGUAGCAAUACGUGCUGACGAGCGGCGAACGGGUGAGUAACGCUUCGGAAUCUGCCCAAUGGUGGGGAAUAACCAGCCGAAAGGUUGGCUAAUACCGCAUGAGCCCUACGGGGGAAAGCGGGGGAUCGCAAGACCUCGCGCCGAUGGAUGAGCCGAAGCCGGAUUAGCUAGUUGGUAGGGUAACGGCCUACCAAGGCGACGAUCCGUAGCUGGUCUGAGAGGAUGAUCAGCCACACUGGGACUGAGACACGGCCCAGACUCCUACGGGAGGCAGCAGUGGGGAAUAUUGGACAAUGGGGGCAACCCUGAUCCAGCAAUGCCGCGUGUGUGAAGAAGGCCUUCGGGUUGUAAAGCACUUUUA